UACGUAGGAGACGAGCGUUGUCCGGAAUUACUGGGCGUAAAGCGCGUGUAGGCGGAUGAGCAAGUCUGCUGUGAAAGCUCCUGGCUUAACCGGGAGUGGUCGGUGGAAACUGCUCGUCUGGAGGACGGUAGAGGUAGGUAGAAUUCCCGGUGUAGUGGUGAAAUGCGUAGAGAUCUGGAGGAACACCCGUGGCGAAGGCGGCUCCCUGGUCCGAUUCUGACGCUGAGACGCGAAAGCGCGGGGAGCGAACGGG
This 253-nucleotide ribosomal RNA is filed under the name uncultured bacterium. RNAcentral describes it as "partial 16S ribosomal RNA". It matches the Rfam family "Bacterial small subunit ribosomal RNA", at positions 524 to 776 of the family's 1533-position model. The record is from RNAcentral.